This 293-nucleotide ribosomal RNA is filed under the name uncultured eukaryote. RNAcentral describes it as "partial 18S ribosomal RNA". It matches the Rfam family "Eukaryotic small subunit ribosomal RNA", at positions 6 to 280 of the family's 1831-position model. The record is from RNAcentral.
GGUUGAUCCUGCCAGACAUAUAUGCUUGUUUAAAGGACUAAGCCAUGCAAAUCUAAGUAUAAGUAACACGUACGUACAAGACUGUGAACAGCUUAUUAUAAAAGUUAUAAUUUAUUUGAACGUGGAAACUUAAAACAGUUUCAAAAUUCUAUGUGGAUAACUGUAGUAAAACUAGAGAUAAUACAUGCAAAUAGAGGAGACUAAAGUAAUUUUGGAAUCCUUGCAUUAACUGGAUUAUUAAAGGAUGUCAAACUUUUGAUGAAACACAGUUCACUAAAUAGCAGAGUGAGUAA